GACGAACGCUGGCGGCGUGCUUAACACAUGCAAGUCGAACGGAGAGGCCUGCUUUCCCUUGUGGAUUGCGGGUACUCGAGUGGCGAACGGGUGAGUAACACGUGAGUGAUCUGCCCCCAACUUGGGUAUAAGCCUGGGAAACUGGGUCUAAUUCCCGAUAGGACUGCAGGGUGGUGCCUGUGGUGGAAAACGAUUUUCUAGUGGUUGGGGAUGAGCUCGCGGCCUAUCAGCUUGUUGGUGGGGUAAUGGCCUACCAAGGCGGCGACGGGUAGCCGGCCUGAGAGGGUGGACGGCGACAUUGGGACUGAGAUACGGCCCAGACUCCUACGGGAGGCAGCAGUGGGGAAUAUUGCACAAUGGGCGGAAGCCUGAUGCAGCGACGCCGCGUGGGGGAUGACGGCCUUCGGGUUGUAAACUCCUUUCGACCGCGAGGAAGCCACCUGGUUGGAAGGGUGGUGACGGUAGUGGUAGAAGAAGCACCGGCUAACUACGUG
Molecule: ribosomal RNA, 494 nt
Filed under: uncultured bacterium
Lineage: Bacteria
Description: partial 16S ribosomal RNA
Rfam family: Bacterial small subunit ribosomal RNA
Source: RNAcentral